CAUUCUAGAAAUUCGAUGGAGAAGAAUAGUCCCAUGUAUACAUUCUUUCAAUUGUAACCCCCGUUAUAAAAUUUGAGAAUUGAAUGUAGACAAAUAUUCUCAUAUACAUAUGGUGAGGAAAACUUCAGUUAUGUAAUGAUAAGAAUGUAUAAAAUGUAGCAGAUACAUAGAGUAAGCCAAAAUAUUCAUGAUGAAAAUUUUAAUAUUCCAAAAUUAUUUGAUAAAUAUUUAAUUUUAUGUUGCUAUGUAUCAUAUGUAUUUUUUGCCUACUCUGCAAAAAUAUACUCGGGCAUUUGCUAAAUAAAAUGUAUAAACAAACACAAACACACACACUCUGUGUGUGUAUAUAUAGAGAGAGACACACACACACCACACAAACAAUUAUUGUACUAUUAAACAAAGUAUAUUUAUUAUGUAUAAAAAAAGGGUGAGCUAACUUACGCCUUCGUCGGAGAUGGGGGUAGGAAGACCAUGAAAGGAAGUGAUUCAACCAAUCGGACUGACAAGUGGUGGUCCUAUGAUAACAAGAGGUAAGGGAGUUGGAGUUUUGCAUAAAAACACACUGACGACGAGCCCUAGUCUGCUAAAUUUAUACAGUGGAGGAAACGCAAAUCCAAAGGGGGUCGAGGCAAACCCAACCAAAAAUAGCCCAAAGGUGAGAAAAGGUGCACAAUCAGAUGUGCAGGGAACUGAUGAUAGCAACAAAGCACCAGCAACACCGAGCACGAUUCCACCACCACAACCUUCAUCUGUUACCGGAGGGGCAGAAUUAUGUCUGCGCAACCAGAUCUAAAUCCAAGUCCUGGUAAAGGAGGCGGAAAUGGAACUAGGUCACAACAACUGAUGCCCGAGAAGGGUAAAUCAUGGGCUGGGCUAUUUGGUGGGAACAAGAUGAAUGCACGUGGAAUGAGCCUGGAGUUUAUCAAGCCAAUUAUCAUUGAUGGAGAGAAGAUUCUCAAUUGCAGACGGAGGAGAUUGCUGAAGAUACUCUCAAAUGGCAACAAGCUCUCAUACUGAACGUGAUUGAAGCUCACCUUUUAUCAGGGCUAUUACCAGGUUCAUUGCUACGAACUGGAACUUUGCAACUCAGCCUAAAAUCUACUAUCAUAAUGAUGGAUAUUUCAUUGUCCUUCUUGCUAAUUGUGAAGAUAGAGAUGCUAUUAGGUGUGCUGGUCCGUAUACGAUAAAUAGUAAACCAGUGAUCCUUCGUAAUUGGAACCCUAAUUUUGACUUUGAAGAAAGGUGUUAAGAACCAUCCCUUUAUGGAUCCAACUGCCUAAUCUUCCUAUGAAUCGUUAGGGGAAACAAAUAUUGAGUCGCAUUGGUAGUGUUCUAGGGCGACCAAUUUAUGCUGAUGAAUGUACCACUAGUAGAGAAAGAGUUUCAUUUGCUAGGAUUCUCAUAGACAUGGAUGUCACUAGGAAAUUGUCGGAUACAAUAAAAGUGCAGGAUCCUGAGGGGAUAGUGUUUGCAUAACAUGUCGAAUCCGAUUGGAAACCAAGCUACUGCCCCAAGUGUUUGAGAAUUGGGCAUGUGUGUAAAGAACCAGAAGAAUCUAAGCCAGAUGUGCCUGUUGCUAAAGGGAAAUCACCCAGGGACAAAAUGAAGCAAACCUGGAAAAAGCAUGGGGGACAACAAGACCAAAUAAAAAAAAGGUGAAUCCUAGGGGUGCUAGCACAAGCGGUGCUAGGGUGAAUGAAAUAUAUGUACAGGAAUCUGGCCAUGGUGUACAGACUAGGGGUACAGGGAAAGACAAAGUAACUAAUGUUGCCAAUUUGACUGGGCAAACUGGUGUUAUCAGUAAGGUUAAUGCUCAACAUGAACAGGGGAUGCCAAGUUGACUGGGCAAACUGGUGUUGUCAGUAAGGUUAAUGCUCAACAUGAGCAGGGGAAUACUAACAAAACUGUUGAUACAAGCUCAACAGCUCAAACUGCAGAGGUGCCAGCAAAGGUGAAUACAACCAGAGAGGCUACAAAGGUUGUUACUGCUGCACCAGUCAAUGCACAAGGGGUUGGAUAACAGCUAAAAACAUAUUUGCCAUGAAGCAACUCAUAAACAAGAGGGUUGAUUAGAUUAGCAUGGCUAAUGUAUUUAGCUCUUUAGUAGCUAUGGUUAGUAAGGAAUUGCUGACUUGUGGCCCAAAAGAUGUAGCGGAACAAGGUGAUAUUAGAGGAAAAGUUCUAGCCCAAAUUACUAUUUUAACUAGAAGAAAGUAGUAACAUAAAAUGUUAGAGGGUUUAAUAAAGUUUACAAGCAGAAAGAACUUUACAAGCAGAAAGAACUAAAAAUGUUUCUUAUUGAGAAUAUAUUAAAAUGGAUAUGAUAACCAUUUUUGAACACAAAGUCAAGAGGAAAGCUGCACAAAAAAUAGUCCAGAAGGUAGUUCCUGGUUGGCAAGCUGUAUUUAACUACCAACAGAAUGACAGACGUACAGUGUGGCUGAUGUGGAACCCCAAUUAUUGUGACUUUUCAAUGGUACUAAUGCUUCAUCCACGGUAUGGUCAGAGUAUAUGGGUUUAAUAAGUGCUUUUAUUUAACCGUUGUCUAUGGAUUGCAUACAAUUCAUGACAAAAAGUCUCUAUGGCAGAUUUACUAAACAUAGCUCAAACCAUGGCAAGUCCAUAGUUGGUUAUGGGGGAUUUCAAUGCCAUCAUGCAUAUUGGAGACAGAGUGGUGGGUUCCCCAAUACAAGCAAAUGAGAUCCGUGACUUUAAUGAUUCUAUGCAAGGUGCUCAUAGGCUAGAACUUAAGGCAGUGGGGAGAGCUUUCACUUGGACAAACAAUCAUGUCUUUAGGAGAAUCGACAGAGACAUUGUGAAUAUAAUUUGGGCUUAAAUGUGGAGCAAUCUUGAAGUGGUGGUGAUGGAGCUUGAGUUUUCUGAUCACUCACCUUUGUGCUUAACUUUAUGUGACAGACAAAACACAGGUCCUAAACCAUUUAAGUUCUUCAAUUGCAUAGCUGAUCAUCUAUCAUUCCAGACCAUUGUGUAGCAGGAAUGGGCUAAGGAAGGACCUGCUAAUAACUUAAUGAAACUAUGGAAGAAACUUGGUAACCUAAAGAUCCAUUUGAAAUAGCUGAACUCCUCUGAGUUUCAGAACAUAGCUCAUAGAAUUGCUGAUUUGAGACGUAGACUGAAUUAAUUCAGUUUCAGAUAGGCUUGUUCCUAACCACCAAAUACUACAAACUGAGGAGAAAAUUGUCAAAGCUGAGCUGGAAAAAUGGCAUGGUAUUGAGGAAAGUGCUAUGAAGCAAAAGGUAAGUGUUAACUGGCUUAAGCUUGGAGAUUCCAACACAUCAUACUUUCAUGCUUGCUUAAGGAAUAGAGUGGCACAAAACCAUAUAAGAACCUUAACUAAUCUGGAUGGGAAACUGAUCCAAAAAGAUGAAGAUAUUCAGAAUGAGAUUAUAGGGUUCUACAAAUCAUUGUUGGAACUACAGCUCACCAGCAUUAAGCAGGAUGUAAUGUAGCAAAGGAAAGUCUUAACAAGGAACCAACAACUAGGUUUGAUUGCAAGUGUCAGUAAAGAAGUAGUGAAUGCAGUUGUUAAAGAUAUUGAUGACAAUAAAGCCCCAGGAAGUGAUGGGUACACUGCUUUCUUUUAUAUGAGGGCUUGGGGUACAAUUGGGGAGGAAGUAAUUAUGGCAGUUCUGGAUUUCUUUAUGGAACUAGCAUAUAUAAGCCUGUUAACUGUACUGCUGUCACCUUGAUUCCCAAGGUUAAGCACCCAGCAUCCAUUAGAUAAUACAGACUAAUAUCCAGCUGUAAUUUGAUAUACAAGAUUAUUUCCAAGGUCAUUACAAGAAGAUUGAGUGGAGUUAUGGAUGGGAUCAUAAAUAGUAGCCAAUUUGCUUUCAUCCCUGGUAGAAUGAUAUCAGAUAACAUCAUCCUGAGCCUUGAGUUAGUCAAAGGGUAUGCUAGGAAAAGCACAUCACUAAAGUGCAUGUUGAAAGUUGAUCUACAGAAGGCCUAUGACUCACUUGAAUGGGUGGUUCUUAAGCAAGUACUGGCCAGUUUACAGUUUCUUGAGAUAUUUAUUCAAUGGAUUAUGAGAUGUAUUACAACUGUGACCUAUUUUAUCAUCAUUAAUGGAACACCAGCCCCUCCAUUUGAUGCUAGAAAAGGACUCAGAUAGGGUGACCUGUUUGUGAUAAUAAUGGAAUACCUCACCAGAUUGCUCAAACCAUUGCACCAAGAUAGAAGGUUUUAGUUUCAUCCUAAAUGUGCUAAGUUGAAGAUCAUCAAGUUAAGUUUUCCAGAUGACUUACUAUUAUUCAACAAAGGGGACAUUACAUCUGUUCAGCUCUUAGUGUAGAGGUUCAGCCAUUUCUCCCAAGCUUCAGGACUCCAGGCUAAUCUUGACAAGUGCUCCAUUUAUUUUGGAGGGGUGAAGCAAGUGGUGCAAGACCAAAUCUUAGAAAUCACUGGCAUUCCUAGAGGAGAACUGUCAAUUAAAUAUCUAGGGGUGCCCUUCAGCAUAAAGAGACUCUCUAUUGUGCAAUGCCAACCUUUGCUUGACAAGAUGUUGGGCAGAUUGACAACCUGGACAAAUAAAUUCUUAUCAUAUGCAGGGAGGUCACAACUAUUAAAAGUUUUGUUGUUCUCCAUUCAAAUCUACUGGUCACAGCUAUUUUUAUUGCCCAAGAAGAUGAUGGAAAGCAUAAAGAAAAUCUGUAGAACAUUUCUGUGGACUUGUGGAAUUGAGCAUUCAAACAAGGCUCUUAUUGCAUGGGAAAAACUAUGUUUACCAUACACUCAGGUGGAUUAAACUUGACUAACAUGUGUAUUUGGAACAAAGCAGCUUUGUGUAAGCUUCUGUGGAAUUUGAGCAGGAAAAAAGAUGUCUUAUGGAUACAGUGGGUACAUAUCUUUUAUGGAAAAGGGGAAUCACUCUGGGGCAAACAUCCUAAGCAGGCAAGCCGGAUUGUUCAGAAGGUGUUGAGGCUUAGCAGUAUAUUAAGGAAGCAGGACUAGAUGAGACAGUACUUACAACUAUGCAAACUUUCUCAAGAAAGAAGAUAUACUCAAGAUUGUUAGGUGACUACCCAAAGGUAUCCUGGAGAAGAAUAACUUGCAACAAUCCAGCACUCUCUGGUUCUGAUCCACGAAGACCUUUACUGGCAGAAGGUUUACACUUUGAAGUUGUAGUUCUGUUUACUCAGCUUAAAGGUACGUACGUGUUUUCUAUCGCCUAAAUUAUUGCUAUAUACCUCAAAUCAAAGUCUAGUAGACACUAUUACUUGUGCCAAUACUUUUCAUUAAAAUAAAUUACAUAAAGGCUCUUUGGAUACUGCUGCUAUUUGUCUCCAUCCUUGUUAAUCACGGAAGGAUAGUACGCAAGGACUCAAAUAUGCGAUACAUAAAUUUUCUUAAUUAUGCUUUUAAAUGAAAAUUUUCAAUUAUGCCUAUAACCACUAGAAUAUAAUAUUUCAUAGACUCAUUGUGAUUAUAAUUGAGGAUAUGUUAGAAAGAUAUUCUUAACAUUAUAUACAUGCUCGAUUUACUCCUGAAGUAGCAACAUCUUAAAAGAGGUUAUAAGCUAUUAAAUUUUGAUGUGGUUAAACACGUUCAAAUAAUUAUGUUCUAUUUCUAAAGAAUGAGAAUUUUUUUUUUUGAUAAAGUAAGUAAUUUCAUUGCUGGCAUCAAGUAGAUGCAUAGUAGUUACAGAAGUAGAGUAGCAAAAAGAAUGAGAAAUUUUAAUAGAUGUUACAAAUACAGAUCCAUUUCCUGCAGUGAAUGUGAUGAUAUUUAGUAAAGAUUAUAAAUACAGAUGUGUUUUUGAUUAUGAAGUUAUCACGACUCAUCUCCAGAAGAGGUAGAAUAAUAGAGAAGAAAUAUUCUAUGUUUUACUCUUGAAGCAGUACAAUUUUGAAAUUUACUCCCGAAAUAGUAAAAUCUUGAAAUUUACUCCUGAAGUAGUGAAUCUAAAAUUUACUCCUGACGUAGUAAAUUUGUAAUUUACUCCUGAAGUAGUAAACCUUUGAACUUUACUCCUGGAGUAAUAAAACAGGUAUGAAAUGUUUCUCUUUUACAAAAAUAAUGACGUGAUUAGGUGAAUACUUGUAAGUUCUACUCACUCUUGUUUAAAUCAGCCAUGCUCAUAUAUAAUGUAAUUACCAUGAUUUUUUUUAUUUAUACAGAUAAAUAUGUGACAAUUAAAUUACUAUACAGAUAAAUAUGUGACAAUUAAAUUACUAUGUUUCUGCGUUUUGAAUUACUACUUUCUUUAACGAAAGUACUUAACAGGAUUAAAGCUACUGAACCUGAUAAGAUUUAUGCUCAUGAUUUCCUUAUUGUGUCAGUCAUUUUGAAUUACCUCGGGAUAUAUAUUCUUUGAACACAACCAUGUAUAGGUAUUAAGGAGUUACUGACUUGCAUGACUAUUUGUUGCUGGUUUAUAUCACAUCAUAAUUUGAUGUUGAAUUGUUGAAUGAAUUAGACGUAAAAUGGUGCAAAUAAAAUAAAAUAAAUUGCAAAGAUUAUACCUUUAAGACGGUCAUAUAUCGUCUAAGAAUGAUCAUCUGUUUUAAAGUAGUAAAAUUUGAAAUUUACUCCCGAAUAGGUAAACUUUGAAAUUUGCUCACGGAGAGGUAGACUUUGAACUUUAUUGCCGAAGUUGUAACAUUUUGAACUUUACUCUCGAAAAUGUUUAACUUUGAAAUCUACUUCUAAAGUAGUAAAACAAUGAAAUUUUCUCCCCAAAAUCUGUUGCGACUUUAUAAUGAAUGUAAAGAUUUUCCUUAUUUUCUUCAAUCUUCUAUUUUAGUUAUUUAAGGUGGCAAAAUUGCGAAAGAAAUGUUUAUAUUUAAUUUGAUGCAAUUUUCUUAAAGUAUUAGGAUGUUCUACUAAGGAAUGGUUCUAUAUGUAUUUUGGUGGUCUAGAAGUAUUGGUAUAAUUUUUGACAAGCAGAAAAAGGUUUGAGAAAUAUAUUGAAGCGAUGUUUUCUUGUGGUAGAAAUAACGAGCUAUUGAAAAUUAUGUAUAAAGCUCAUCUAAAUGAUCAAGUUUCAUUCCCUGAAGUAAAUGAAGAGUUUGCAUACAACAACAAUUAUCACUUAAGUAUUGACAUGGCUCCAUAUGAGGCUUUGUAUGGUAGGAGAUGUCGUUCUCCAAUUUUGGUUCGAUGCCUUGGGGCAAUGACUUGCUGAGAGAGUCCUUGGAUAAAGUAAAGUUGAUUCAGGAGAAGCUUCUUGCGACUUAGAGUAGACUAAAGGAGUAUGCGGACCGGAAGGUUCGUGAUAUGGAAUUCAUGGUUGGUGAUCAGAUUCUAUUGAAGGUUUUACCCAUGAGGGGUGUGAUGAGAUUUGGGAAGAAGGGCAAGCUAAGCCCGAGGUUCAUUGGUCCCUUUGAGAUUCUCUGGCGUGUUGGUGAGGUAGCCUACGAGAUGGCAUUUCCACUAGGUUUUGCAAGUGUUCACCCGGUAUUCCAUGUUUCUAUGUUGAAAAGUACCAUUCAUAUGAGUUUUUAUCAUCCACUGGGACUCGAUAUUAUUUGAUUAGAAUCUGUCACUCAAAGAAGAGCCGGUAGCAAUCUUGGAUGGGAAAGUAAGGAGGUUGAGGUCAAAAGAGAUAGCUUCAGUAAAAGUGCAAUAGAGGCACCAUCCAGUUGAGAAGGACAAUAUGCGUAUUAGAUAUCCCCAGCUUUUUACUGAUUUGGGUACCUUCCCUUCAUUUCUUUUUCGUUCGAGGACGAACGGUUAUUUAAUUGGUAUUUGAUAUAACGAUCUAUUUGGUCGUUUUAAGCAGUUUGCUCUCCCCCCCCCCCCCCCCCCCCCCAAAGUCUUUUUUUGGUGUUUUUGACUUGCAGGCAUGGGUGACGCGGUUCUCGAGGCUAUCGGGCAAGUGUUGGGUGGUUUUGAGGAUUUUAGAGGUUUUUAAGUUGAAUAAGUUAAAAAAGUGUUAGACCAAUAGUUGACUUUUGAGUAAACGAGUCUUUUUAGAUUUUUUGUCGAUUCCAUUAGGUCCGGAAGAUCGAUUAUGACUUGAUAAAGUGAUCGGUCCGUUUCCCUAGAGAUUUGGGCGGUGUUUUGGUCUUUUGGUUGAAAUUCUAGUUUUUUUGGCGUUUGGGGGUUGACUGGGUCAAGACGACCUCUUUUUGAAAUUUCGAGUGCGCGAGUGGGUUCUUAACAUCAUUUAUACUUAGUUUGUAUGUUUCGGGUGUCAAAACCAACUUCGAAAGACACCAGAAAAAUCUGGUGUCCAGUUCUGGUUUCCUUAUUCGCUAUCACGAAAAGGUGUCUGUGAGCGCGUGCCUUGGUGGGAUAGGCCAUCGCGAUCGCGUUGGUGUCUCUCGCGAAAGUAAGAUGGCGCUUGCUUGUGAUGGGUGAGUCGCGGGUCAUUGUAGUCGCGUGACUAGUCCCGCGAUCGCGAUAGUCCCAGCUAGGUCGGGUCGCGGAUGGGCAUCGCGAUGGCCCAGGUCGCGAUUGCGGUGAAGAACUGCUGAAAUGGUGAAAUAAAUCCCCCAGCUUUGAAAACUAUUCCCAUUGACAAAUUUCAAGUUCUUGAGUUCGCUUUGGAGAGUUUCCAAGGAGGUUCCACAAAUCUAAGCUUUGGGAUACGUUCCUAAUCUCUUCUAGGCUUAAAUACAUGAUUCCAUCCUUAGAUUCAUUAUUUAAUCCAUGAUUCUAGGUGGGAAAAUGAGCGUUUGCAUUAUUUAGGGGUUUUGAGUAAUUAAUUAAAUUGAAGGCCUAAUUGUGAUUAGAAUUUCAUGAAAUUAAGGAUUGUGACUAUUUUUAUUAUGGGUAACGUAAUUUUGCUCUUAAUUUCUAAUUUUUCCCUUGGGCUUGGUAUGAGUUAUUUUGGGUUUGUUUUUGAGUUUCCACUUAAGUAGCAAUAUGGGUAUUGAUGGAUUCGUAAGACCAUAUAGGUUGCUACUUUGAUCAUGUUAGGUUCAAUUUCUCGGUAAAUCACCUUUUGACCUACCGGAUGGAAUUUGGGCUUUUGGGUUGACUUUUGGACCAGAAUCCUUUUCCUAUUAAUUAGGCAUCCUCAUAAUCAUUUAUUAACGUAGAAAUUGGUAAUCUUUAGACUUUGCUCAUUCAGAGGGGAUUCAAAAGGGAAAGACGCAAGUUGGAUAGUUCGUGGCACCUGCUCGACACUGAGGUAGGUUACGACUAACCUUUGUUUGACUACGAUCAGUGAAUCACAUGUGAUUUGUAGUAUUGACGGGGAAAACAUGAUAGGCCUUCAGGCAUUUUUGUGGUGAUAAAUCCACCGAUUUGGUAUGGAUGUUGUUAUGUGGGCUUGUCGCCAUGAUUGCUAAUACGUUGUGAUAGUUGAUUGAUAUAUUUUGUUAUUCGAUUCUCACUUAACUCAUGGAAAAGAAAGGCUGAAAGUAAUGACUUGAGCUGUGUUCAUUAUUCAUGACAUGCAUGAUUUGAUUCUAUGAUAUAUGUUGUUGUUGAAAGUGAUUCCAUGCAUGACAUGCCUUUCAUUUGCUCAUAUGAUUGAUAUGAUAGUGAGAAAAGUGAUUUAUAGCCUCUGAGGUCUUUGCCGGAGAGCGCAAAAUGAGAGAGUGCUCGCGUCCGAGGUAAUUUGACGGAGUGAGGUACUACUCAGGUCCUAGGUUGUUGCUGUAAUGAGAGAAAGGUACAUUGACUUCGCGGGUCCCCCAUAGGUCAUGACUUUGAGGCAUAGCCCUUAGCAUGUGUGUAUGAGAGAGUUGGCCUGUGUGGCACUGCAUUGCAUGGCAUUGCAUUCCAUUUGCAUUGGCACCUCAUAUUAUUGCAUUGCAUUUCCUCUUAUGGAAUUCUUUGGUGUUGAUUACUUGAGUCGUUGCUAGUUUUGUCAAGUGUGUGGUUUAGGAGCUUUACCUAGGCCUAUAACUUAAGGUUAUUGAGAUUAUUACUAUUGUGAUCUUCUAUUGAAGUUGAUUUUGUAACUGUAUUUAAUCGUCUUAUCUGCUUACUUGUUGAUUCUUCAUAUUAUAGGUGUUAUCUAAUCGUUGUCGUUCUAUGAUGCCUUUGAGCACUAGUGUUGUACUCAUGCUACACUUGUUGCACUUUUUGUUAAGUGUAGAGCUUGACCCAGGAUCCUCUUCGCGACCUCGCGAGUGAUACUGAGGCCAUCCGCAGGGGAUUUCAGGACUUUGCUCAUUCAGAGGUGAUUCGAAAAGGAAAGGGGAAAGUUGGAUAGCUUGUGGCAUCUGCUCGGCACUGAGGUAGGUUACAACUAACCUUUGUUAGACUCUGAUUAGCGAAUUGCAUGUGAUUUGUUGUAUUGACAGGGAAAGCAUUAUGGGCCUUCAGGCAUGGUUGUAGGGAUAAGUCCACUGGCUUGGUAUGAAUGUUGUUAUGUGGGCUUGUCGCCAUGUUUGCUAAUACGUUGUGAUAGUUGAUUGAUCUAUUUCGUCCUUUGAUUCUCACUUAACUCAUGGAAUGGAAAGGUUGAAAGUAAUGACUUGAGUUGUGUUCAGUAUUCAUGGCAUAUUAUUUUAGUCUAUGAUAUGUGUUGUCUUCUAAAGUGAUUCCAUGCAUGACAUGCCUUUCAUUUACUUAUAUGAUUGAUAUGAAAGUGAUUGAUAGCCUCUGAAGUCUUUACCGGAGAGCAUAAAAUGAGAAAGAGUGCUCGUGUCCGAGGUCAUUUAUCGGAGCUAGGGAGUGCUUGUGUCCUAGGUCGUUGCCGGAAUGAAGAAAUGGUAAAUGGACUUCACAGGUCCCCCAUGGGUCAUGACGUUGAGGCAUAGCCCUUAGCAUGUCUGCACGAGAGAGUUGACCUUUGUGGCACUGCAUUGCAUUCCAUUUGCAUUGGCACCCCAUAUUAUUGCAUAGCAUGUCCUCUUAUGGAAUUCUUGGGUGUUGAUUACUUGAGUUGUUGCUAGUUUUUUCAAGUUCUUACUUAGAACCUUGAGAGGCUUGUGGUUUAGGAGCUUCACCUAGGCUUAUAACCUGAGGUUGUUGAGUUUUAUUUAGAUUAUUAUUACUAUGAUCUUCUAUUGAAGUAUGAUUUUGUAAAUGUACUUGAUUGUCUUAUCUACUUACUUGUUGAUUCUUCAUAUUAUAAGCGUUAUCGAAUCGUUGUUGAUGCCUACGAGUACUAGUGUUGUACUCAUACUACAUGUCACGCCCCCAAAACCCACCCUGGACGCAACAAGCAUCUGAUGCUAUGAACAACACCGGAAGAACCUUAUGAAAUCAAUAAACGUCUAAUCUCUUAUGAUAAUCUUUCGACAUUUUAUUUAAAACAGUCGUUUAGGGCUAACCGAAAGUAGACUCAUACUUAUAAAAUAAGCAGAAUUUUAAUGCGAAUAAUCAAAUAUAAAACAUGGAAAACGCCCCAACAAGUCAUACAAGACUUUAACAAUCUACCCACAAUCUGACAACUAUCUAUGGAGCUUCUAAAAUAAAUAAAUGAAUGAACUAACUUUGGGACGUAGCUCGGAAACUAAAUGCAAUAAAUUAAGAUAGAGGGGUGUCGUACGAACAAGCAUGUGGGCUCAUCACAAGUCUGGAAGGCAGCAAGUUCUCCUACUCCGUACGCGUAUUACGAACCUGCUCUUCUUUGUUACUUAACGUACCAUCAAAACAAUAAUGGUAUGCUUGAGUAUUGGGUACUCAGUGAGUGUCUAAAGGGCAAUAGUUAAUAAAUCUAAAAUAAGAUAGUUAUAAUCAAACUUGUGAGUCAGUAGUAGUAAAACAAUAUCAAAAUGAAACAAUUCGAAAUCCAGAGAUAAAGUGAAAUAGUGACCCUAGAAAAAUAACCAGUAAAAGCCAAGACACAAGAAAAUAUCAAUUUCAACUUAUUAUACUGUUCAUCUCAUUACGUAUUUCACUUACUAACUCAAGAUUACCACAACCACUCAUAAGCAACCAAGAUAUCAACACAUGGCAACUCACGAGCAAACAACCAUUCGAUACACUGGGGUUAUUAUCCCACAGUGGCUAAUCGUCCUCUGGACUAGCACAACGAUAGAUGCACCGGGCGACACACCUGGGAGGUCAAUUGUCCUUUAGACUGACACAACAAUUGAUACACUACGGUACAUGCCACAGAGGUCGAUUGUCCUCUGGACUAACACAACAAUGCUCAAAAGCGAUAUGUUAGGAUCCAUAAUGGCUAAUCGUCCUUUGGACUAGCACAGCUUUCCCAUACAGGCCCAAACACACACAAAAAAUAAAUAAAUACAUGUCAUGGCAUAUCAACUGAAUCAUCAAUCAUGGCUUAUAGCCGAAUUCACUUCUCAGGUCAUCUUCUCACAAUAAACGUAUUUCAAGUCACAAUCAAUUUAUAAUUUGAUGUCUAAAUCAUUCAUUCAAGUUCAAGAAACCCAUUCAAGGAAAACAUUUUUAAAGUUCCAACCUUUAGAGAAAUAAGUUUAUCAUCUGUAUUAGGACAAAACAUGUUCAUCAUAAUAUUAUAAUUCGUAUAAGGUUCGAUGCGGGCUUGAUCCUACACACACAUGACCUUGUUCAAAUGUCAUCUUUUAAUUAAAAAGCAAGUUCAACAAAGAACAACCGCCAAACUAGGGUUUUAACUUGUACAAAUAAUCAAAGUAGGAUUCUCAAAUAUCGAUCAUGUGUUCACAACAUAAACGUACUUCAAGGAAGAUUUCAAAAUAGACAUACAUCCACAGACAUUUUUUAAAAAGAAUAGGCACACUUCAAAAUAAGAUUUCAAAAAUGCACACAUACACCCAAAAACGUUUUUAAAAAGAAUAGGCAUACUUCAAAAGAAUAUUUCAAAAAUGUAGACAUACCUUAAUUUUCGCUAAAAACGCUACCAACGGAUUUUUUCACAUUCAACAAUCGCUCUACAAUUGAUUAGGAUGAUAAAGAUUAGAGUUUCCAUCUAAUUCUAUCCAUCUCACCCUUUUUAGAAAAACUAGGGUUUUUAAGUCAACUUCAUAUUCUUUCUUUUAGAAGAUUCAAUCAUGGACUCUAAUCACUUGUAAUAACCCACACUAGUCUCAAUCCAUUUAAUAAACACCAUUAGAGGUCAAGAUCUUAUUUUUAUUGAGAUUCCCCCCAAAGUUCUCUUCAAUUAUUCUACCUUAAUUUUAAAGAAUCUAUGGAUUGGAAUGAUAAUCUGGUGUUAAUCCUUGUUACUUUGAUAUAGUUUAAUCAUAGGAUGGUUAGGAACUCACCUUGUAAGGUUUGGAGAUGUUCUAGGGUCUUUUCUCCUCAAAAAGUCGGCUAAGAAUGAAGUAAGUAUGAAUUUUUCAAGAAAAUCUCGUUCUCAUACAAUUUUCGCACAAUUGGGAAUGCUAUGUAGCAUAUGCGGUCGCAUUUUGCGUUUAUGGCCGCAUUCUGGUCGCCUACACAAACCAGUAACAUUGGAAAAUCAUCUUGAAAUGUAAAGUGGGUUUGCGGGUGAGUUUGCUGUCGCAUUCUGAGUUUGCGGCAACAUUCUAGCCGCAUUCCAGCCAGCGUCCCAUAUAGGUUUCAGUAAAAUAGGCAUACCUUUGUGCUCAUAGCUCCAUUUGAGCUCCAUCUUAUAUUAUUGGAAUGGUAUUUCAAUGGGCAACAAUUUCACGUUUUAAGUUUUCUCAAAUUCCUAAUGGAUUUGCACAUAAACAGGAGGGAAGUCAGCACUACCGAAAACUGAGUUGAUUCUAUCGAAUCUUAUGCAUCCCACUAUUCGUGUUGAACUUAAAAUAACUAUUUUCACCCAAACUCACCUCGAUAGGACUUCAUAUGUCUAAAAUGUCACAUUAACAGACAUCUAACACAUUCACACCUAAUCCAAAUUUACAGAGUGUUACACGACACUUGUUGCACUUUUUGUUGAGUGCAUAGUUUUACACAGGAUCGUGUUCGCGACCUCGUGAGUUGAUUAUUGAGGCCAUCCGCAAGAGAUUUCAGGGUGAGCCACAUGCCAGAUCUACAACCCUGGAUCCCUUCUAUUGACUAUCUGCCUACUUUGAUUCCUCAGAUAGUUCUAUUUCUGUUUAAAGACUUGUAUUCCAGCAUGUUAGUAUUGUAUUAAGAAUUAGAAACUCUUGUACGAGUUCAGAUUAGGUUUUGGGGUUGUAAACAUUAUUAGUACUUCCUCACUUACUUUUAUAUAAAUAUCUUCUAGACUGAUUAGUAAUAACUAGCUUUUACUUCCGCAUGUUUCUUAAUUAUGAUUUUGUUUAAGGGGGGUGGUUCGGCUACCUACAGGGACAGUGUAGGUGCCACCAUGAUACACAAGUUGGGCCGUGACACUGCUGAAAGAAGUUGAAAUGAGGAAUUUGCAGAACUCUUUGAUCCUGAAGGACCAUAUCUUUAUUCAAUUGAUGCAUUUAUAUAUCUUGCUAUAACUAUGAGCUUGAUAAUGUUUUACUCCUACAUGGAGAUAUUGAAAAAAGAUCAAUUGCAAGCAUUAUAUGAAUGUAUUUAUCCUGACAAAUGUUGUCAAGUUUUUUUUUUUGGAUAUACAGAGCAUUCAUUUGAUCGACAAAAUAUGUUCGAUCGAGACAUAUUUUCUAUUCCAUGAGGGAUUACAGUCAUACGAUGUUGUUUUACAUGAUAGUCAAAUCAUACAGAGAUAACAUUUAUUUAUAAUGCAAAUCAGGAAUGUACUUUACGUAAUUCCAAUAAUAUUAUAUGC
Molecule: long non-coding RNA, 14527 nt
Organism: Lycium barbarum (goji berry)
Lineage: Eukaryota; Viridiplantae; Streptophyta; Magnoliopsida; Solanales; Solanaceae
Exons: 3
Source: RefSeq, a predicted model, not a curated record